RNAcentral lists this transfer RNA (91 nucleotides) under Streptomyces minutiscleroticus. Its description in RNAcentral is "tRNA-Arg". The record is from RNAcentral. Lineage: Bacteria; Bacillati; Actinomycetota; Actinomycetes; Kitasatosporales; Streptomycetaceae.
AGGUCGGUGGCCAGGUACCAGGUCGCUUUCUCCGGCAGGGUGGCCGGGUCGGCGGUGGCCACGACCAGGCGGAUGAUGCCGUCCGGUCCCC